Molecule: long non-coding RNA, 167 nt
Organism: Protopterus annectens (West African lungfish)
Lineage: Eukaryota; Metazoa; Chordata; Ceratodontiformes; Protopteridae
Exons: 3
Source: RefSeq, a predicted model, not a curated record
UGUUCUAACAUGCCAGAGGCUGUUCACCUUGGAGACCUGCUGCGGAUAUGGGUACGGCCCGGCGCGAGACUUACACCCUCUCCCCCGGAUUUUCAAGGGCCGGCGAGAGCUCACCUGACGCCGCCGGAACCGCGACACUUUCCAGGGCGUGGGCCCCCUAUAUCGGC